UGGGGAAUCAUGGUCAAUGGACAAAAGUCUGAUCUAGCAACACCGCGUGUGCGAAGAAGGCCUUCGGGUCGUAAAGCACUUUUGGAAGGAAUAGGAAGGAAUGUACUUCCAGAAUAAGUCUCGGCUAACUACGUGCCAGCAGCCGCGGUAACACGUAGGAGGCAAACGUUAUCCGGAUUUACUGGGCGUAAAGCGCGUGUAGGUGGUACUGUAAGUAGGGCGUGAAAGCUCCUGGCUCAACUGGGAGAGGCCGUUCUAAACUACAGAACUAGAGGAUGGUAGAGGGAGGUGGAAUUCCAGGUGUAGCGGUAGAAUGCGCAGAUAUCUGGAGGAACACCGGUGGCGAAGGCGGCCUCCUGGACCAUUCCUGACACUCAGACGCGAAAGCUAGGGUAGCAAACG
Molecule: ribosomal RNA, 402 nt
Filed under: uncultured prokaryote
Description: bacterial SSU rRNA
Rfam family: Bacterial small subunit ribosomal RNA
Source: RNAcentral